GUGUCUCAUGACUCUCUCCCUGCAGCUCAAAGUAGCAGUUCUACAUUAUGGUCAGGCAGCAAAAAAGUCAUGUUUAGUCAAAACCUCAUCACAUUUUCAGUCUUUCUGCUGUGGACAUCAGGCUGUCUUGGUGGGAGUGAUGUGACCCAGACCCCCAUGCUGUGGAAGUCUGUCGGUGAAGAUGCAACGAUUGAAUGCGAACAUACCAAGGGUGCUGGCUAUUACCAGAUGUACUGGUACAGACAGCUGCCUGGAGAAACUAUGAAGCUUGUUGUUUUUACAUCAACAGUUUCAAAAAAUCAUGACUUUGGAGAUUUUGGAAAUGAAAAAUUCAAUGCCACCAAGACUGAGGUUGACAAAGGAACGUUUACAGUGAAGAAUCUACAACCAAAAGAUAAAGGCUUGUAUUUCUGCGCUGUGUCAAAACACAGUGAUACAAACACAUGUGUGAGCUGA
This is a non-coding RNA of Cyprinodon variegatus (sheepshead minnow), 456 nucleotides long. The record is from the annotation of a RefSeq genome assembly. Lineage: Eukaryota; Metazoa; Chordata; Actinopteri; Cyprinodontiformes; Cyprinodontidae.